Molecule: ribosomal RNA, 258 nt
Filed under: uncultured Anoxybacillus sp.
Lineage: Bacteria; Bacillati; Bacillota; Bacilli; Caryophanales; Anoxybacillaceae
Description: partial 16S ribosomal RNA
Rfam family: Bacterial small subunit ribosomal RNA
Source: RNAcentral
CAUUCGAUUGGGCACUCUAAGGUGACUGACCGGCUAAAAGUCGAGGGAGUGGGGAUGACGUCAAAUCAUCAUGCCCCUUAUGACCUGGGCUACACACGUGCUACAAUGGGCGGUACAAAGGGUCGCGAACCCGCGAGGGGGAGCCAAUCCCAAAAAGCCGCUCUCAGUUCGGAUUGCAGGCUGCAACUCGCCUGCAUGAAGCCGGAAUCGCUAGUAAUCGCGGAUCAGCAUGCCGCGGUGAAUACGUUCCCGGGCCUU